GGCGCGUGACUUGCUAGGAACACACACAGAGCAGUCAACGCUGAUUGCCCAUUCACGACAAAGGCGCCGU
Molecule: non-coding RNA, 70 nt
Filed under: Pseudomonas marginalis
Lineage: Bacteria; Pseudomonadati; Pseudomonadota; Gammaproteobacteria; Pseudomonadales; Pseudomonadaceae
Also listed under: 1 other name
Description: narK
Rfam family: narK RNA
Source: RNAcentral